GGUUUCCUGGGGUGUGCGUCACAUUUCGUUUAUUUAAACCCACAGUUUGAAUACGGGAAUCCAGGUCUUUUCACACUCGGUCAAGCCCCCUUUGAGGGGACGGCUUAGCUGAGAAGCAGGAUACCCACCUGCCGCGAGGCGGGUGUUAAAUGCGGGAUGAGCGGCAUCUUGGGAACGG
This 178-nucleotide non-coding RNA is filed under the name Gehongia tenuis. Its description in RNAcentral is "6S RNA". It matches the Rfam family "6S / SsrS RNA". From Rfam's summary of the family: E. coli 6S RNA was the first non coding RNA to be sequenced, but its function was unknown until recently. Lineage: Bacteria; Bacillati; Bacillota; Clostridia; Christensenellales; Christensenellaceae. The record is from RNAcentral.